Molecule: ribosomal RNA, 292 nt
Filed under: uncultured bacterium
Lineage: Bacteria
Also listed under: 2 other names
Description: partial 16S ribosomal RNA
Source: RNAcentral
GGACUACCGGGGUAUCUAAUCCCGUUCGCUACCCUAGCUUUCGUGCCUCAGCGUCAGAAGAGACCCAGUGAGCCGCUUUCGCCACGGGUGUUCCUUAGGAUAUCAACGCAUUUCACCGCUCCACCCUAAGUUCCGCUCACCUCUAUCUCCCUCGAGCACGGUAGUUUUGGGCGCAGUUCCUCGGUUGAGCCGAGGGAUUUCACACCCAACUUUCCGCGCCGCCUACGCACCCUUUAAGCCCAGUAAUUCCGAAUAACGUUUGUGUGGUUCGUCUUACCGCGGCUGCUGGCAC